RNAcentral lists this ribosomal RNA (466 nucleotides) under uncultured bacterium. RNAcentral describes it as "partial 16S ribosomal RNA". It matches the Rfam family "Bacterial small subunit ribosomal RNA", at positions 28 to 507 of the family's 1533-position model. The record is from RNAcentral.
GAUGAACGCUGGCGGCGUGCUUAACACAUGCAAGUCGAACGAUGAAGCCCAGCUUGCUGGGUGGAUUAGUGGCGAACGGGUGAGUAACACGUGAGUAACCUGCCCUUAACUCUGGGAUACGCCUGGGAAACUGGGUCUAUUACCGGAUAGGUGCGUCCACCGCAUGGUGGGCGUUUGAAAGAUUGAUCGGUUUUGGAUGGAUUCGCGGCCUAUCGGAUUUGUGGUUAGGUAAUGUCUUACCAAUGCGACGUCGGGUAGCCGCCCUGUGAGGGUGACCGGCCACACUGGGACUGAGACACGGCCCAGACCCCGACGGGGGGCAGCAGUGGGGAAUAUUGCACAAUGGGCGAAAGACUGAUGCAGCGACGCCGCGUGAGGGAUGACGGCCUUCGGGUUGUAUACCUCUUUCAGUAGGGAAGAAGCGAAAGUGACGGUACCUGCAGAAGAAGCACCGGCUAACUACGUG